Non-coding RNA from Chlorocebus sabaeus (green monkey), 276 nucleotides. It matches the Rfam family "Metazoan signal recognition particle RNA". Rfam says of the family: The signal recognition particle (SRP) is a universally conserved ribonucleoprotein. It is involved in the co-translational targeting of proteins to membranes. The record is from Rfam. NCBI's taxonomy places the organism in Eukaryota, Metazoa, Chordata, Mammalia, Primates, Cercopithecidae.
GCUGGGUAUGGGGGCACAGGCAUGUAGUCUCAGCUACGCUGGAGGCUGAGGUGGGAGUAUGGCUUGAGCCCCAGGAGCUCUUGACUGUAGGGCCCUAUGUUGAUUGGGUGUCUGCACUAAGUUCGGAAUCAAUAUGGUGGUGACCUGCUGGCAGUGGAGGACCACCAGAUGACCUGAGGAAGAGGAAACGGAGCAGGUGCAGAUCAGUAGUGGAAUUGUGCCUUUGAAUAGCCACUGCCCUUCAGCUUGGGCAACAUAGUGAGACCCCCAUCUUUU